GUAGGUGAACCUGCGGAGGGAUCAUUACAGAGUUGCAAAACUCCCUAAACCAUUGUGAACGUUACCUAAACCGUUGCUUCGGCGGGCGGCGCCGGGGUUUACCCCCCGGGCGCCCCUGGGCCCCACCGCGGGCGCCCGCCGGAGGUCACCAAACUCUUGAUAAUUUAUGGCCUCUCUGAGUCUUCUGUACUGAAUAAGUCAAAACUUUCAACAACGGAUCUCUUGGUUCUGGCAUCGAUGAAGAACGCAGCGAAAUGCGAUAAGUAAUGUGAAUUGCAGAAUUCAGUGAAUCAUCGAAUCUUUGAACGCACAUUGCGCCCGCCAGUAUUCUGGCGGGCAUGCCUGUUCGAGCGUCAUUUCAACCAUCAAGCCCCGGGCUUGUGUUGGGGACCUGCGGCUGCCGCAGGCCCUGAAAAGCAGUGGCGGGCUCGCUGUCACACCGAGCGUAGUAGCAUACAUCUCGCUCUGGGCGUGCUGCGGGUUCCGGCCGUUAAACCACCUUUUAACCCAAGGUUGACCUCGGAUCAGGUAGGAAGACCCGCUGAACUUAAGCAUAUCAAUAAG
RNAcentral lists this ribosomal RNA (564 nucleotides) under Chaetomium sp. NA12. RNAcentral's name for it is "eukaryotic LSU rRNA". The stretch from base 203 to 356 matches the Rfam family "5.8S ribosomal RNA". Lineage: Eukaryota; Fungi; Ascomycota; Sordariomycetes; Sordariales; Chaetomiaceae. The record is from RNAcentral.